Molecule: small nuclear RNA, 68 nt
Organism: Phascolarctos cinereus (koala)
Lineage: Eukaryota; Metazoa; Chordata; Mammalia; Diprotodontia; Phascolarctidae
Source: Ensembl
GGAUUGUAUUAAAGGAAAGAAGGUUGGCACUCCCCUUGAUAAGUCAGGAAGAGGUCCUAGUGAUUUUU